RNAcentral lists this transfer RNA (66 nucleotides) under Neanthes glandicincta. RNAcentral's name for it is "tRNA-Lys". Lineage: Eukaryota; Metazoa; Annelida; Polychaeta; Phyllodocida; Nereididae. The record is from RNAcentral. RNAcentral also lists the same sequence under 1 other name.
CUUUUGGAAGCUUGCAAUAGCCAUGAACUUUUACUUCAUAAAUAGGAAAUGAUUUUCCCCAAAAGA